ACACGUAGGGGGCGAGCGUUGUUCGGAAUCAUUGGGCGUAAAGGGCGUGCAGGCGGUCCUGCAAGUCCGGCGUGAAAGACCCCGGCCCAACCGGGGGGACGCGCUGGAAACUGCAGGGCUUGAGUACAGGAGGGGAAGCCGGAAUUCCAGGUGUAGGGGUGAAAUCGGUAGAUAUCUUGAAGAACACCAAUGGCGAAGGCAGGCAUCUGGCCAUGUACUGACGCUGAGACGCGAAGGUGCGGGGAGCAAACAGGUUUAGAUACCCGGGUAGACCGCACAGUAAACGAUGUGCACCAGAUGGCGGGGGGUCGCCCCCCGGUACCGUAGCUAACGCAUUAAGUGCACCGCCUGGGGAGUAUGCUCGCAAGGGUGAAACUCAAAGGAAUUGACGGGG
Molecule: ribosomal RNA, 394 nt
Filed under: uncultured bacterium
Lineage: Bacteria
Description: partial 16S ribosomal RNA
Rfam family: Bacterial small subunit ribosomal RNA
Source: RNAcentral